CGCGGCCGCCGCUCCCGCCCGCCCUCCCCCCGCGCUGCGCAGCGCUCCGGAUGGUGCCCUAGCCAGCCAUGGCAGAGCAGCGAGGUGUGCCGACGCUCGGCGGUGUUCGCGGCUUCCAGACGAGCCCUCCCGCUCCUCUUCCCCCCGAGACUCCUCCCUCGGCUUCUCCGCCCCUCAGCAGCUGAUCCUCAGCUCCGGCCGCGCUUUUCGCGCGGCCCUUCCGCCGGCCGCCGACUUAGACGCACGCGGGCGCCGCCGCCCCUCCCCCGCACGCCGGCCGGAAGAACGCGGGCUGCGGCCUGGAGGCCUGGAGACCGCGGGCGGCGGCCGAGCUGAGGCCUCCCAGCACCGUGGAAAGUUGAAUGCACUGAACAAAGUGCCCACCGUGCUGCGGGCUCGCCCGACCUUCCCGCCCCGGCCGCCAGAGGCCCAGCGCCGGCCGAGUUCAGGGAAAAUUCGGCCAAGGGUGUAGGACCGCGGGCAAAAGCUCGGGUCCUCCUACCACGAUCCACCGCCUCCUGUAUCCCCCUCUAACACAGUCAAAAAGAAGGGGGUUAGGACCGGACAGUCGGGGGAAAGUUGCCUGGAGAUUUGCUUUUCAGCAAAAAAGGAAAAGGCUGCAUUGUUCUGUGGGAAUUCCAUGUGAGUAACCCAUGGUUAGUGGUACAAGAAACUGUUAAAACAAGGAUCCAGAGGAACAGCAAGAAGAAGAGAUGCAUAGGGCAAAGUAUGAGAUCAGCGGGGAGCUUUUGCGCCCUCUCUGUGCACACCACCCUCGAGCACCUCCAUGUAUUCAACAAUCUGGGAGCAUGGCAGACCUGUUGUUCACAAGUUUUUACUGAGCUUAAUCUCCACAACCCCCUAAUCCUCUUUGCUGGAAAAAUAAGGAUGUCCCUUUUGAACUUUAAUGAUCCAUCUUGGGGGAGAAGGACCAGGGGAAGAUUUCCUUAGCUUCUCAUUCCUGAGGUGUGCGGAGCCUGAUGGCACAACCAGCUACCACUUGGGUGGGUACAGGGAAAAUGGUGCCCAGGCUGAGAAAUACUCCACUUGAACAAUGAUCUUCACAAGCCACAUGCAUCCCAUGUUACUUAUAUGUUAUAUAAUGCAAUGUUGUCCUAAUAUUUUAUGUUCAUUUUAUAAAUCACAAACUGUUUAAAAAUUAAAGGAUGAUAUGA
Molecule: long non-coding RNA, 1175 nt
Organism: Heterocephalus glaber (naked mole-rat)
Lineage: Eukaryota; Metazoa; Chordata; Mammalia; Rodentia; Bathyergidae
Source: RefSeq, a predicted model, not a curated record